GAUGAACGCUAGCGGGAGGCUUAACACAUGCAAGUCGAGGGGCAGCAUAGGGUAGCAAUACUCUGAUGGCGACCGGCAAACGGGUGAGUAACGCGUAUGCAACCUACCCUGUACAGGGGGAUAACCCGGAGAAAUUCGGACUAAUAUCCCGUAAUAAUAUCCGGAGGCAUCUUUGGAUAUUUAAAGUUCCGACGGUACGGGAUGGGCAUGCGUAACAUUAACUGGUUGGUAAGGUAACGGCUUACCAAGGCUAUGAUGUUUAGGGGUCCUGAGAGGGUGGUCCCCCACACUGGUACUGAGACACGGACCAGACUCCUACGGGAGGCAGCAGUGAGGAAUAUUGGUCAAUGGGCGCAAGCCUGAACCAGCCAUCCCGCGUGCAGGAAGACGGCCCUAUGGGUUGUAAACUGCUUUUUCCAGGGAGAGAAACUUACGCACGUGUUGCGUGACUGACGGUACCCUGGGAAUAAGCAUCGGCUAACUCCGUGCCAGCAGUCCGCGGUAAACACGAGAGUA
This 516-nucleotide ribosomal RNA is filed under the name uncultured bacterium. Its description in RNAcentral is "bacterial SSU rRNA". It matches the Rfam family "Bacterial small subunit ribosomal RNA", at positions 28 to 533 of the family's 1533-position model. The record is from RNAcentral.